UCUUUAUCAUUCUCUCUGCUUUUCCAAUCGUCUCUCUCUCUCAAAUUUUGACUUUACCAUUUCAGUUACCAGAGUUCCUCACCACAAAAGAGCAUUGGAGAAGGAGAAAGUGUACAUAUAAGGUUCAAGAACCAGUUCUCUUUAUCUUCACCAGAAAUAAUCGUUAAAGACAGAAGAGAUGGAAAGCUCUUGGCCCAUCGCUGCCGAGCUCUAGCCCGUGGCCUUCGUCACCUCAUCUUAUCUACAUCUCUCUUCUACUCACGAACACCCUCGUCACCUCCUCGCCACAGUUCCUCCUCUCCUCGUCUCCUCCUGUGAGUUUUUGCGGCAGAAGAAGAUGAUACGGUGGUCGAUGGAUUUGCUAGAAGAAGACUAAGAAGAUUUGUGGUAGAUGUGGUGGUCGUUGGAUUCACGUCACACGACUUGAGGUUGGAAGAGGAAGAAGAAGAUCUGAGAUCUGGUGAGGUCGAGGACGCGGCUUGAAGCUUCAAGAUUAGAUUUAGUUUUUUUUUCUGGUUUUACUUUUUUUUUUUAAAUUCUGGUUUAGUUUGUAAACCGGAUUUAAUUGUAAAACGUUUUAUAAAAUUAGUUACAAUGAACUGCGAGGAAAUUUAAAA
Raphanus sativus (radish) is the source of this 617-nucleotide long non-coding RNA. RefSeq lists it as uncharacterized. NCBI's taxonomy places the organism in Eukaryota, Viridiplantae, Streptophyta, Magnoliopsida, Brassicales, Brassicaceae. The transcript has 3 exons. The record is from RefSeq and is a predicted model, not a curated record.